GACGAACGCUGGCGGCGUGCUUAACACAUGCAAGUCGAACGGAAAGGCCCUGCUUUUGUGGGGUGCUCGAGUGGCGAACGGGUGAGUAACACGUGAGUAACUUGCCCUUGACUUUGGGAUAACUUCAGGAAACUGGGGCUAAUACCGGAUAGGAGCUCCUGCUGCAUGGUGGGGGUUGGAAAGUUUCGGCGGUUGGGGAUGGACUCGCGGCUUAUCAGCUUGUUGGUGGGGUAGUGGCUUACCAAGGCUUUGACGGGUAGCCGGCCUGAGAGGGUGACCGGCCACAUUGGGACUGAGAUACGGCCCAGACUCCUACGGGAGGCAGCAGUGGGGAAUAUUGCACAAUGGGCGGAAGCCUGAUGCAGCUACGCCGCGUGCGGGAUGACGGCCUUCGGGUUGUAAACCGCUUUCGCCUGUGACGAAGCGUGAGUGACGGUAAUGGGUAAAGAAGCACCGGCUAACUACGUG
Molecule: ribosomal RNA, 468 nt
Filed under: uncultured bacterium
Lineage: Bacteria
Description: partial 16S ribosomal RNA
Rfam family: Bacterial small subunit ribosomal RNA
Source: RNAcentral